AUACGUAGGGGGCGAGCGUUGUCCGGAAUGAUUGGGCGUAAAGGGCGCGUAGGCGGCUGUUUAAGUCUGGAGUGGAAGUCCUAUUUUUUAAGGUAGGAAUUGCUUUGGAAACUGAGCAGCUUGAGUGCAGGAGAGGUCAUCGGAAUUCCCGGUGUAGCGGUGAAAUGCGUAGAGAUCGGGAGGAACACCAGUGGCGAAGGCGGGUGACUGGACUGCAACUGACGCUGAGGCGCGAAAGUGUGGGGAGCAAACAGGAUUAGAUACCCUGGUAGUCCACACUGUAAACGAUGAAUGCUAGGUGUAGGGGGUAUCGACCCCUUCUGUGCCGCAGUCAACACAAUAAGCAUUCCGCCUGGGGAGUGCGGUCGCAAGAUUAAAACUCAAAUGAAUUGACGGGG
Molecule: ribosomal RNA, 398 nt
Filed under: uncultured bacterium
Lineage: Bacteria
Description: partial 16S ribosomal RNA
Rfam family: Bacterial small subunit ribosomal RNA
Source: RNAcentral